CCCUUAGAUGUUCUGGGCAGCACGCGCGCUACAAUGGUCUUCGCAAACGGAUGCAUUCUCGAAGGAGAAUGCCAAUCUUGGAAUCUAUGCCUUGGUCGGGACAGUUGCUUGCAAUUUUUCGACUCGAACCAGGAAUUCCUUGUAAUCGUGAUUCAUCACAUCACGAUGAAUACGUCCCUGCCCUUUGUACACACCGCCCGUCGCUCCUACCGAUUGAGCAAUCCGGUGAAUAUUUCGGACGGAAACUCCUCGGGGCAACUCGUUGGAGUAUCUGAAAGUCAAGUUAACCUUAUUGCUUAGAGGAAGGAGAAGUCGUAACA
This 320-nucleotide ribosomal RNA is filed under the name uncultured eukaryote. RNAcentral describes it as "partial 18S ribosomal RNA". It matches the Rfam family "Eukaryotic small subunit ribosomal RNA", at positions 1470 to 1796 of the family's 1831-position model. The record is from RNAcentral.